AGGUUCUCCCUCACUGGUCCUCUUCAGGCUCCGGAGCAGUAGUCCCGGAUCCCACAAAAUCCUGGGAGAAGGCGGAGGGCGUGAUGCUAGGGCACUGGUGCAGAGCCAUGGUCAGAGAUAGUAUGCAGAACAUUAGAAGUGUUGAAAAUUGCUGACACACAAACCCGAAGGAUGACAAAGUAGGAGUAAAAGCAUCGGAAGCCCAGAGAUCUUUACUCCAGGAGAAGACGCUGUGGGAACCAUCUUCAGUGUUGAGAGAAGUGAAAGGAAGUGAAACCCGGCCUGUCCUUCCUCUUCUGGAAUCAAGGAGGAAA
This 314-nucleotide long non-coding RNA is filed under the name Mus musculus (house mouse). RNAcentral describes it as "predicted gene 11290". Lineage: Eukaryota; Metazoa; Chordata; Mammalia; Rodentia; Muridae. The record is from RNAcentral.